UAACACAUGCAAGUCGAGCGGAUGAAGGGAGCUUGCUCCUGGAUUCAGCGGCGGACGGGUGAUAAUGCCUAGGAAUCUGCCUGGUAGUGGGGGAUAACGUUCCGAAAGGAACGCUAAUACCGCAUACGUCCUACGGGAGAAAGCAGGGGACCUUCGGGCCUUGCGCUAUCAGAUGAGCCUAGGUCGGAUUAGCUAGUUGGUGAGGUAAUGGCUCACCAAGGCGACGAUCCGUAACUGGUCUGAGAGGAUGAUCAGUCACACUGGAACUGAGACACGGUCCAGACUCCUACGGGAGGCAGCAGUGGGGAAUAUUGGACAAUGGGCGAAAGCCUGAUCCAGCCAUGCCGCGUGUGUGAAGAAGGUCUUCGGAUUGUAAAGCACUUUAAGUUGGGAGGAAGGGCUGUAGGCUAAUAUCCUGCGGUUUUGACGUUACCAACAGAAUAAGCACCGGCUAACUUCGUGCCAGCAGCCGCGGUAAUACGAAGGG
This 487-nucleotide ribosomal RNA is filed under the name marine sediment bacterium ISA-7146. Its description in RNAcentral is "bacterial SSU rRNA". It matches the Rfam family "Bacterial small subunit ribosomal RNA", at positions 49 to 532 of the family's 1533-position model. The record is from RNAcentral.